GAUUAACUCGAUCCGGUUACUCAUGACAAUACCAUUGAGGAAAAGAAGGAGUUUGAAAUAUAAGAUUGGUCAAAUCGUAUGAGUACGUUGGUUAUGGAACAAACCAUUCCAGAUAUUUUUUAGGACACUAUGUUCGAUGAGAUCACAAUAGCUAAAGAUUUUUUUCAUUCUCUAGUACAACGUUUCGCUAGAAGUGAUAAAGUUAAGGCAUGUACACUUAUGUCGACUCUUGUUUAUAUAGGUAUAAGGGAAAUGGAAAUAUC
RNAcentral lists this long non-coding RNA (263 nucleotides) under Carica papaya (papaya). RNAcentral's name for it is "long non-coding RNA (CPAP_LNC009986)". The record is from RNAcentral. Lineage: Eukaryota; Viridiplantae; Streptophyta; Magnoliopsida; Brassicales; Caricaceae.